Non-coding RNA from Acanthosepion pharaonis, 98 nucleotides. The record is from the annotation of a GenBank genome assembly. Lineage: Eukaryota; Metazoa; Mollusca; Cephalopoda; Sepiida; Sepiidae.
UUACGACCAUAUCUCGUUGAAACACCGGUUCCCGUACGAUCGCCGAAGUUAAGCAACGUCGAGCCGGGUAACCGCUUGGGAAAACUAGGUGAUGUAAG